This 492-nucleotide ribosomal RNA is filed under the name Xanthomonas sp. 6. Its description in RNAcentral is "bacterial SSU rRNA". It matches the Rfam family "Bacterial small subunit ribosomal RNA", at positions 1 to 488 of the family's 1533-position model. Lineage: Bacteria; Pseudomonadati; Pseudomonadota; Gammaproteobacteria; Lysobacterales; Lysobacteraceae. The record is from RNAcentral.
UAGAGUUUGAUCCUGGCUCAGAGUGAACGCUGGCGGUAGGCCUAACACAUGCAAGUCGAACGGCAGCACAGGAGAGCUUGCUCUCUGGGUGGCGAGUGGCGGACGGGUGAGGAAUGCAUCGGAAUCUACUCUUUCGUGGGGGAUAACGUAGGGAAACUUACGCUAAUACCGCAUACGACCUACGGGUGAAAGCCGGGGACCUUCGGGCCUGGCGCGAAUGAAUGAGCCGAUGCCCGAUUAGCUAGUUGGCGGGGUAAGAGCCCACCAAGGCGACGAUCGGUAGCUGGUCUGAGAGGAUGAUCAGCCACACUGGAACUGAGACACGGUCCAGACUCCUACGGGAGGCAGCAGUGGGGAAUAUUGGACAAUGGGCGCAAGCCUGAUCCAGCCAUACCGCGUGGGUGAAGAAGGCCUUCGGGUUGUAAAGCCCUUUUGUUGGGAAAGAAAAGCAGUCGGUUAAUACCCGAUUGUUCUGACGGUACCCAAAGAAUA